CACAACCUGAUUUCUUUCAGACCCGUGUUAAUUUGUGGGAAACUGUGGCACCGUAUUGAGAAUAGAUGAGAUACUAUAUUGCCCAAUGCCCUCUACCAAUUGCACAUUUCUUUGCUGUUGAUACUUCUGUUUCUCAAAUACUGUCUUUCUAGAUGUUAAAAAACGUGAGCCUGUGUAUACCUGAGAAGAAGGUGCUUGCUGAAGUGUACUGUCUGCUCCUUUUGGUAAAAUCAGAGAAAAGAGAAAACACACUAGUGACUUUCCUGUCUACAAGGACUUUUCAACUUUAAGAAUGUGGACAUGACGACUCCUGAAAACGAGCACUUUGGAUUCACAUUGCUCACAGUGAAGGACCCUGAGAGGGCAGAGCCACGUGAUGGAAUGAGCCAGGAUCCCUGAGUCCUCACCUAGGGCAGAGAUGUGCAGAAGAGCUACCCAGGUGGCGUUGUGCUGGAAAAUGUUUAGUGACCCAUUUGAGGUGUGGGGGGAGGCUCUAACUGGUAACAUUUGUAAAUUACUGUAAUGCAUGCCUCCACCAUGGCUGCUUUUAGGCAACCAAGGUGAUGUCACUGAACACAGUUUGGUGUGGAUGCACAUCAUCAGUUCAUCAUGAUCCAGGAUGAACUAGCCCUAGCAUACCACUACCACAACCCACAUAUAACUGUAUGUCAUAAUUUAAAAA
This 682-nucleotide long non-coding RNA is filed under the name Rhinopithecus bieti (black snub-nosed monkey). Its description in RNAcentral is "lncRNA (ENSRBIG00000045596.1)". The record is from RNAcentral. Lineage: Eukaryota; Metazoa; Chordata; Mammalia; Primates; Cercopithecidae.